Long non-coding RNA from Coregonus clupeaformis (lake whitefish), 500 nucleotides. RefSeq lists it as uncharacterized. NCBI's taxonomy places the organism in Eukaryota, Metazoa, Chordata, Actinopteri, Salmoniformes, Salmonidae. The transcript has 4 exons. The record is from RefSeq and is a predicted model, not a curated record.
GGCUGCUCCAUUCACCAGCCAACACAACACCGGCAUAAUAACGACAUAAAAAAUGCAAACGCAUCCAUUCCGCCUGUACGACACGGCGAAGAGGUAGAGACUAGGAAGAAAGCGAGAGAGGGAGUUUACUAGUGAUAGUGGUUAUAUCAACAGGUGUGAGAGUUAGUAAGCGGGAGUUUUAAAGAUGAGAGAGGAAUGGAUGGAGAGAUUCUGUUUUGGAAUAACCUGAGCUGAGGAGGAGAGAAGAUGGAGGGACUGUGACAGGAGAUACAGAGGGAGAGCGGCGCAUUGUGUUGUAACGUUAUGGGAUGUACUCUAUCCGCAGCCUGCCCAGCAUGGUGUACCGGGAGCAGCCAGAGGAAGAUGGACUAGAGGACAUGACACAGCUGGAGGAGGUACACGAGGGAGCUGUGCUGCUCAACCUGAAGAAGAGGUUUGAGAGAGAGAUCAUCUAUACAUAUAUAGGUAGUAUCCUGGUCUCCGUGAACCCCUACAAGAUG